Molecule: regulatory RNA element, 69 nt
Organism: Dinoroseobacter shibae
Lineage: Bacteria; Pseudomonadati; Pseudomonadota; Alphaproteobacteria; Rhodobacterales; Roseobacteraceae
Rfam family: L2-Alphaproteobacteria ribosomal protein leader
Source: Rfam
GGGGACCUUCGGGGCCCUUCAAACCGAGAAGCCGGGUUCUACCCGGCACGCAACAACGGAAGACAGAAA